AUCAUAAGGAAUAGUAUAGGUACAUUUAAUACAUCAUAUUUAUUUGUUUUUGGACAGAUAAGAUGUUCAUGCUGUACGUUUCAAUUGGUAUUGCUGCAUUAGUGGUGGUGGUAAUACUAGUUCCCAUGUCAGCUUGCCUAUUGACUAAGAAGGGUGGGAGGAGUCAUAGUGACCAGCCAGUAGCCAGUAUACAGGACAUGGAUGCAGCCAAGUGUGCUUCCUCAGAUCCCUCAACAUCAAGGAAAGAGCAGAAAGACACCAGCAGUGAAAUCCUCACAAACUACUACACCAACGAUCAGCUAUAUGGCAACAUGGAGGCUGAAGAAGAUGGCGACCCAUGCGAAUGUGUUGGUGGAGACGAUGCAAUCUAUGGUAACAUUUGA
This 383-nucleotide long non-coding RNA is filed under the name Oncorhynchus kisutch (coho salmon). RNAcentral's name for it is "lncRNA (ENSOKIG00005013642.1)". The record is from RNAcentral. Lineage: Eukaryota; Metazoa; Chordata; Actinopteri; Salmoniformes; Salmonidae.